This 507-nucleotide ribosomal RNA is filed under the name uncultured bacterium. RNAcentral's name for it is "bacterial SSU rRNA". It matches the Rfam family "Bacterial small subunit ribosomal RNA", at positions 9 to 537 of the family's 1533-position model. The record is from RNAcentral.
GAGUUUGAUCCUGGCUCAGGACGAACGCUGGAGGCGUGCUUAACACAUGCAAGUCGAACGAACCCGAGACUUCGGUCUCAAUGGGUGAGUGGCGAACGGGUGAGUAACACGUGAGAAACCUGCCUCGGAGUACGGGAUAACUCAAGGAAACUUGAGCUAAUACCGCAUACCUUCCAGACACCGCAUGGUGAUUGGAAGAAAGAUUUAUCGCUCUGAGAGGGUCUCGCGGUCUAUCAGCUUGUUGGUGAGGUAAUGGCUCACCAAGGCUUCGACGGAUAGCUAGUCUGAGAGGACGAAUAGCCACACUGGAACUGAGACACGGUCCAGACUCCUACGGGAGGCAGCAGUGGGGAAUCUUGCACAAUGGGCGAAAGCCUGAUGCAGCGACGCCUCGUGGGGGAUGAAGGCCCUAGGGUCGUAAACCCCUUUCAGGAGGGACGAAAAUGACGGUACCUCCAGAAGAAGCCCCGGCCAACUACGUGCCAGCAGCCGCGGUAAUAAGGGCGA